This is a long non-coding RNA of Bombus huntii, 2946 nucleotides long. RefSeq lists it as uncharacterized. The record is from RefSeq and is a predicted model, not a curated record. The transcript has 4 exons. Lineage: Eukaryota; Metazoa; Arthropoda; Insecta; Hymenoptera; Apidae.
CGUGGGCAGAAGUUCUGCUGCAUACUGAAGACCAACAUUGGCUGCCAUGUUCAGACAGAAUCGCGACAAUAUUGACAUUACUAAUUUCGCGAGCACUGGGGAAUAAAUUAAAAAAUACAAAAUUAAUCCUGGGUACACAAUACUUGAUUAUCGAUAUAUUUACUGGAAUGCAGCAUAAGUUCAGCGAUACUGAGUACACAGGUCAUUGCCAUCGUGAGAAAUCCGCAGAGUCUACGACCCCAUCGGUCGAGCAACAGGGCGAGUAAUAACCCAGCUGGAAGUUCUGUGGCACAGGCGAUCGAGAACGACACGAACACCGAGCUCUGGAUAAGUUUUAAUGAAUACACGUGACCGUCGAACGAGAUCAGGGUGAAACACCUACAAGAUUGUAUCGGUUAUUUAUGAAGGUUUUCUCGCAACAUGAACUCGUAUCUUAUACUUGCCAGAAUGCAACUAGAAGAAUAGUGUUUCUCGCCAACCGUGGCGUUUUGAACAGAUCGAGCAGCGUCGCUGAUUCUUGAAUUUUGUCCGGUGCCUCCAUGUUACUCUGCAAGAAUUUAUUUCGAGAAUAAUUAACGAAAGAUAUAAUACGAGUCGUGCCUUUAGCCCUUACACAGUUCAAAAUUCAUAACACACUGAAAAGAAAUUUUAUUUUCAUUUUAUUCGUCAUUAAUAGAUAGCACGAACAGUGGCACUUUGCAUUCUGUUUUAUGGAAUUAGUCGGCAUGGCUUUUGAUAUCGAGAUUUAUUAAUAUAAUGGGUGGUUGGUUGAUUAAAUACUUUUCUGAUCCGAAAUACAGUCGGGAACAAAACUAAGUGGAUUAGUGGAGAAAAUGUAAAAAUUCAUUUCAAUCAUUUGCUGAACUAUCUGCAUAUUAUUAGAAGGAAAUAUAAUAAAUAAAACUCAAGUAUAUGAGGCUGAUACUAAUUUGAUUAUACUUUCUUCACAUCUAUUUCCAUUAACUAUAGCAGCUUAUUUUUAUCCCCGAUUGUACUUGUAAAUUGUAAAUAUUUUAUAAUUUCUAUAUAAAUUCCCAGAUUUACUUCAAAUUUUGUACGAGAUCGAUAUAAUACCACAAUGGAAUCGCGACAGUCAAGUUUCAUUUCAUAUUUCAUUUUUCAUCGCGUUUCAUUUUUAAAACCUGUCUAUGCAUGUUAAAAUACAUUCGCGAGUCUGUGUGUUUUCGACGUGAAUCAAAUAUAUCUGUCAGCACAGAUUCAAGCACUGUACCGUAUGAUUUCGCGUAAGCUUUCUAGAAUUCUAUUUGAUCGAACUUACGACGAAUAUAUUGCAAAUACGCGAGUCUGGAUUUCUGCGAUUGAUCCUAGCUGUUCUCCGUAGUUUCUCAACAACCUUGUCCAUCAUCCCGUUGGAAACGUACCAGCUUGAACAGAGCAAAUACGAGUGAUAUGGAUCGAUAAGUAAAUUUGCAUAAAUCUCAAAGCGCAAGUUGAGAAUUCGAAUAAUCGAACGAUUAGGAGUUUACUUACCGGGCGCUCUCGGGAAGAAUCCACGGUGUGAUAGCGACAGAUAACAGCGGUAUGGCAGUAACUAAUAGAACAUGGAAGAUUUAUCGAGUGAAACCGGUUAUUAUUAAUAUGGAGCAAUUGAUGACGAGCCGAAUGAACGAUACCAUCAACAUAAUUGUAGGAUAAUUGUAAGAUUAUAAAUAUAAUUCCGAUUUUAAAUUAAUCCGUUUACUCUGCAAACGUGAAUGUUCCGAGUUUGAGCUGGUCCGUAUAACAAAAAGCGCUACAUAAUGCACGUGUUUUGCUUCUAACGUAUUUAAACGAAUUACGUGUUGAAAAUUUUGUGAUAAUUUUCAUUUCGAACGAAUAUACGGAGUGGUUGGUAACUGGUGGUACAAGCGGAAAGGGGGUGAUUCUACGCGAAAAAAGAAGUCGAAAAUAUAGAAUAAAAAUUUUUCGUUCGAGGCUUUGUUUUCGAGAAAAUCGACUUUGAAUUUUCGCUCGAUACGCGUGCACUUUAUCGCGUCUCGUUAUAACGGAUCUCACUGUAGAUCGUUGUCUCGAUGGAAGAAUUAAAAAAAAAUUUGUAUUCUAUAUUUUCGACUUCUUUCCGCUUGUACCACCAGUUACCAACCACCUUGUAUAACUCGAUUUAAGAAUAUCAAGAUAUAACUAUCCUCGACGACAUGAAAAUCGAUGAAACGAUCUUUAACAAUAACAAAAUCAAUAUAUUCAUCUCUGGUGGUGGCAAAAGCUCUUGAAUCAAGAACUCGAACCGUAUAGUUCAAUCGAGUACAGCAACGUCAAAAUUAUCUUCGAGGAACAAUUCAUCAAAAAUUUCUCACGCAACAUCAUCUUUCACGUAAUAGAAACAUUGACUUCAUACUAACGUUAUCUCUCGCGUGACUGAAACAUUGGCUUAUCGGUCGAACCUCUCGCACUUUCUACUUCGUAGAAGGCUUACCGAUAAUCAGAGGAAUGUUGAUACAGUUAUCGAACGCCAGUCCAGUGAGAAACCUACAGACGGCGAAUGACCAAAAACUAUUUGCGCUGGCAGUGAAAAUGGAGGCAAAAAGGGCGAUACCAUUGCAGAACAUUAAAGCUGGGAUACGACCCUUCUGAUCGGCGAUCCAACCGACUAGGAAACCACCGAUGAUGGAUCCGCAGAAGAAGAUGGCCUGCGCCGUUGAUACGAGAAUAUAAUUUUAAUCCUGCUGCGGUCUUCGAAUUUUUAUAUCUCGAUUCUGCUCGCAGUUCGAUGAAUGAAAGAGUUCUUUAUGCUCUGAAAAAAAACGUUCGCGUAAAAUCGGAACGAGGAAUUAUCCGUACUAACAAUUAUCGUCUUAUACUUUCUUUAAACUUAAGAAAUUUACUAUAACAAGGUUAGAGUAGAUCGGAAAUGACCCAAAGAACGCAGCAGAAGUGUAAGAAUUUCGAAGCAUGCGAUUCAGACAACGAUGUGAAUACUUCACCUCA